GAUAUACGUCUCAGGAUACAGGAAAUACGGAAAGAGCAAAACCAGGAGGAAGCUCUGUGCCUGGAGGGGACCCGCCGCCAUCUCAGGUCUCUUGGCCUCAUCAGGGCCCACCGGAAAGAGCUGACGCCCGGGUCCUGUAAUCCUUAUGGGGGACCAACCUUGUGCCUCCGGGAGAUCCACACUCCCACCUGGAAACACGCGGGAAACCAAGCCGCCAAAAAAGCGCUGUCUUUUAGCUCCACGGUGGGAUUAUCCAGAAGGAACUCCUAACGGAGGUAGUACCCCUCUCCCUUCCGCACCUACUCCUGCAUCACCGAGCCUGAAGUCGCACCCACCUCCUCCGGAGAAGUAGUACAACACACUUCUCCCACCCCAAACCAGGAAGCACAGAGGAUGAACCAAGUCAUUCUGCCUGGUAGUAAUCAUGAUCCAUCAAAGAGGAAGGGGUAACUUUGGGUGGGCCUUAAAAAUCUUUGAGGGAUUGCAGUAUGACUCUAUUUCCUUGGUAUAUGUGCUGCCGAAGCAAGCACCUGACUCUAUUUCCUUAGUGCAUUCAUAAAAUAGUUCACUCAGUGAAGACAAUGAAGAUUAUUGACAAUGCUACCCUGCUUUUUCUGAUGUUCUACACCAGGAAGUUGUGAUUUUUAAGAUCUUUCAAUUAUUGAGAAAGAUUUAAAAUCUCCCAGUGAUGGAGUUCAUGCUGUGGUGCAGUGGGAUUGGCGGCCUCUCUGGAGCAGCACUGGGAUGCAGAAAAUAUUCUGCCAAAAUAAGUGAAUGCAUUGAUGUACUUCUUAAUUUAUCAGCAGGAUUUAUAAUUAGAAUUAGGGUUAAGCUUUAUAUCUCCAAAUGUUAUUUUCUUCACUAAUUUUUUAUCUUAUGAAAUGUCAACUCUUCAGGAAAGUCAAAAGAUAUCCUUCAUGUAGAUCCAUCAGUUGUUUAUUUUUCUACAUAUGGUUUAUAUCUCUUUAUAAAUACAUAAAUAUAUAUGUAUAUACACAUUUUUUGCUAAACCAUUUGGAAGUAACUUGUGGAUAUCAUGACACUUCAGGCUUAAAUGCUUCAUGUGUAUCUCUUAAGAACAAGGAUGUUGUCAGACUCAGAAAAAUUCAACAUUGAUAAAAUUAUCUAAAAUACUGUCCUAACAAUAUCCUUUAUAUCUUUUUAUUUGUUUUGAUGCAAGAUGCAGUCAAGAAUCAUGCACUGUAUUUAGUUACCAUGCCCCUUUAGGCUUUUAAAAUCUGGAGUAGCAACUUCCCAUCCUUUUCUUUUAAUUUUUCAUAAAAUUGGUAUUUUUGAUUAUUUCAGGCAGUUGUCCUACAUAUAUCUCACAAUCUGAACUUGUCUGUUUUCACAAGAUUAAUUUGAACAUUUUUAGAAGGAAGACUUCAUAGGUGGUAUUGUGCCCUUGCUCUUGUAUCACGUCAGGAGGCUCAAAAUGCCAUUUUGUCCUAUUUAUUAUUGAGGAUAUUUUGCUUGUUGACUUUGUUUAAACUGUUUUAAAGAGCAGUUUUAAGUUCACAGCAAAAUUGAGAGGAAGGAACAGAAAUUUCCCAUAUGCCUCUCUGCCCCUACACAUGCAUAACCUUCUCCAUUAUCAACAUCCUGUACCAGAGUGGUAGUUUUGCACAGUUGAUGAACCUACAUUGGUACAUCAUUAUCACCCAAAGUCCAUAGUUAUAUUGUUCACUCUUGAGCAAUAUACAUUCUUGGUGUUAUACAUUCUAUGAAUUUGGACAAACGUAUAAUGACAUAUAUUCAUCAUAUGGCAUAUUUUCAAUGCCUUGAAAAUCCUCAGUGCUCUACUUCUUCAUCCCUCUCCCUCAACCCCUGGCAACCACUGAUCCUUUUGCUAUGUCCAUUGUUUUACCUUUUCUAGAAUGUUCUGUAGUUGGGAUCAUACAGUAUGUAGCUUUUUCAGAUUGGCCUUUUUCCCUUAGUAAUAUGCCCUUAUGAUUCCUUCAUGUCUUUUCAUGGCCUGAUAGCUCAUUUCUUUUCAGUUGUGAAAAAUAUUCCAUUGUC
RNA transcript from Phacochoerus africanus (Common warthog), 2019 nucleotides. It is a transcript of the gene named negative regulator of P-body association, with no coding region annotated. The record is from RefSeq and is a predicted model, not a curated record. NCBI's taxonomy places the organism in Eukaryota, Metazoa, Chordata, Mammalia, Artiodactyla, Suidae. The transcript has 5 exons.